This 508-nucleotide ribosomal RNA is filed under the name Lampyridae sp. UPOL RK0386. RNAcentral's name for it is "partial 16S ribosomal RNA". It matches the Rfam family "Bacterial large subunit ribosomal RNA", at positions 1816 to 2610 of the family's 2925-position model. Lineage: Eukaryota; Metazoa; Arthropoda; Insecta; Coleoptera; Lampyridae. The record is from RNAcentral.
CAUGUCCUUUUGAGUAUAAUUUAAGGUCUAAUCUGCUCAAUGAAAAUUAAAUAGCCGCAGUAUUCUAACUGUGCAAAGGUAGCAUAAUAAUUAGUUUUUUAAUUGGAAGCUGGAAUGAAUGAUUGAACGAGAAAAUUUCUGUCUCUUUGCAAAUUUUGAUUAAAUUUAACUUUUAAGUUAAAAGGCUUAAAUUUUAUUAAAAGACGAGAAGACCCUAUAGAGUUUUAUUUUAUUAAAAUCAUUUAAGUAUAAAAAUAUUUUAGAAAAUUUAGUUGGGGUGACUUAAAGAUUGAUUAAACUCUUUAAAAAAAUUAUCAUAGAUUUAUGAAUUUAGAAUCUUGAAUUAUAAAUUUAAAUUAAAUUACCUUAGGGAUAACAGCGUAAUUUUUCUUUAGAGUUCUUAUUAAAAGAAUAGUUUGCGACCUCGAUGUUGGAUUAAAAUUUAUUUUUGGUGUAGAAGCUAAAAAAUUAAGUCUGUUCGACUUUUAAAAUUUUACAUGAUCUGAGU